This 47-nucleotide non-coding RNA is filed under the name unclassified sequences. RNAcentral describes it as "chromate-resist RNA". It matches the Rfam family "chrB-b RNA". The record is from RNAcentral.
CGGGGAUCAAGCCGCUCCCCGUCAGAUGACGUUCAUCCAAGCGCUGC